GGAGUCAAAAGUAUAGCUGAAAUGCAAUGGCAUGUUUAAUGAUUAAGGAGCUAUGACAGCUUCAUAAUUUGUGGCUAAUAAAACAUUUCUGAUCUUUGUAGUUGGAACCACAACAUCACUUCCAUGUGGAAAUGAUAAACAAGUUAGUAGAUAGCACUUCUCCUUUCCUGAUCAAAGAGCCAAGGAACAAACUAUCAAAUGUUAACACUGCUGGCUAUUGGGAAAGGUUUAACAGAGGCAUUUGCUGUUGGCUGCUGUCAGACUACCUGAAUGUUUGGUGAAGCCACUAUGCAAGGUGUAAUGGAAAGAUGUUGAACAAUGAAGUCUGCCAGGUAGAGGAGGUUUCCAGCACUGCGCAACCUCUCCAGAAGUGGAGGCCCCACUGUGUGGGCUGCUUGUCUUUCUCCCGCUGAGGGAGCUCAGUCCUUUCUCUUCAGGCUGCUCUUCAGCUCUUGAACAGGUCAAGUAUGACUCCGCAGACAGACAUGGUGCAAGGGCAGCUAAAAGGGCCACAUCAGUUCCCGAUGUCAUCUGACUUAGAGUGCCACGUUGGAAGCAUCUGAUGGCAGUAUGAAGUUGACCUCAAGGAGGACAAAGGACUUACUCUAGUGUGCAUAAAAGCUGAACGCUGCACCAGGUUUAGAGGUGAGCCUUUGUUGACUGAUGUUGAUCUCAGAAAAUUAUUUGCCCUCAACUUUUAUGGGGAAAAAAAUGAAAAAGUCCCACCCACGAGAGAGACAAGGCAACCCAUCCAUAGUAAAUGGUUAUGUUUGCAUCUGUGUUACUUUUUUCAGCAGGGUUAUCAGUACGGUUACACCUUGGAUUGAGUCCUUAGCCAGACUGUCUGUGGUAUG
Molecule: long non-coding RNA, 854 nt
Organism: Dromaius novaehollandiae (emu)
Lineage: Eukaryota; Metazoa; Chordata; Aves; Casuariiformes; Dromaiidae
Exons: 6
Source: RefSeq, a predicted model, not a curated record